CGUCGUGUCCCGGCCUCCAGCGGCGGCGGCAGUGACGGCGGCGGCGGCAGCGGGAGGCGGCGGGGGGAGCGGGAGCCACUGAGAUGAGGAGGCGCCGCGCGCGCCUGUAGCUCGCGGGCCUCUCAGAGAAUGUCAAUCUGGACAGAGAUCAAGGCAGAGGAUACAUACUGCUUUCUACAAUAGGAAUUAUAAAACUUAGGUGCACGUUGAGUAAGAUGUUGUGGUGGAGACAUAGCUAGUUUGUUUGCCUAAUCUGGACUUGAAGCAAUUCAACUACUAGAAAUCUGCCAUUUUACAGUAUCACAAUUGGGAAGAAGCAGGUUUUCAAAUAAUGGAAGAGUCUAAGACCUCUAAAAAUGAAAAUCAUGAACCAAAGAAGAAUGCUUGGGCUCUUUCUGAAGAAAGCAAAGCAGUUAAAGUUAUAUCUAAUCAAACUUUGAAAGCUAGAAAUGAUAAAUCCAUAAAAGAAAUUGGGACCAGCUCUCCAAGUAGGAAUAGUAGUAAAAAAAAUAAGCAAAAUGAUAUUUGUAUAGAAAAGACAGAAGUUAAAUCAUGUAAAGUAAAUGCUGCCAACAUAGCAAGUCCUAAAGAUUUGGGAUUAGUCCUUCGAGAUCAAAGUCAUUGCAAAACAAAAAAAUCACCUAAUUCACCGGUAAAAGCAGAGAAGGUACCUGUUUCACAGGCAAAAGCAGAAAAGUCACCAAAGUCAUCUAAUUCACCAGUGAAAACAGAAAAGACAUCCAGCUCCCAGGCAAUAGCAGCAGAAAAGGCACUUAGUUCACAGAGGAAAACAGAAAAAGUACCCAUUGCUCAGAUGAAAUCAGAAAAGGUCCCUGGUUCGCUAACAGAACCAGAGAAGGCACCCAGUUUACCUUUAAAAGAAAACAUGCGACAGAUAGAAUUACAGCAGAUUGGAAGAAAAAUUCCAAGUUCCUUUACUUCUCUGGACAAAGUGAAUAUUGAUGUUAUAGAGGGAGAAAAAUCUGCUUUGGAAAACUCACCACGAUCUCAGAAGCAACAAGCAUGUACAGAUAAUACUGGUGAUUCUGAUGAUAGUGCUUCGGGAAUUGAAGACAUAUCAGAUGAUUUGAGUAAAAUGAAGAAUGAUGAAUCUAAUAAAGAAAAUUCUUCAGAGAUGGACUAUUUAGAAAAUGCUACUGUGAUAGAUGAAUCUGCAUUGACACCUGAGCAGAGGCUAGGCUUGAAACAAGCAGAAGAACGCUUAGAAAGAGAUCACAUCUUUCGACUUGAAAAACGCUCACCAGAAUAUACCAAUUGCCGAUAUCUAUGCAAACUUUGCUUAAUUCACAUUGAAAACAUCCAGGGAGCUCAUAAACAUAUAAAGGAGAAACGACAUAAGAAAAAUAUUUUGGAAAAACAGGAAGAAAGUGAGCUUCGUUCUCUGCCACCUCCUUCCCCUGCCCACUUGGCUGCUUUAAGUGUUGCAGUUAUUGAAUUAGCAAAAGAACACGGAAUAACAGAUGAUGACCUCAGAGUCCGUCAGGAAAUUGUGGAGGAAAUGUCAAAGGUUAUAACAACAUUUUUACCAGAGUGUUCACUUAGGUUGUAUGGCUCAUCUCUGACUAAGUUUGCUCUGAAAAGUAGUGAUGUUAAUAUAGAUAUAAAAUUUCCUCCCAGGAUGAAUCAUCCAGAUCUUCUGAUACAAGUGCUUGGGAUUUUAAAAAAAAGUGUAUUAUAUAUAGAUGUGGAAUCUGAUUUUCAUGCCAAAGUUCCUGUUGUGGUGUGCAAAGAUCGGAAAAGUGGUUUACUUUGUAGAGUGAGUGCAGGAAAUGAUAUGGCAUGCCUCACUACUGAUUUACUUGCUGCUCUUGGCAAGACGGAACCUGUUUUUACUCCUUUGGUGUUAGCCUUUCGCUACUGGGCUAAGUUAUGCUAUAUUGACUCCCAAACUGAUGGCGGAAUCCCUUCUUACUGUUUUGCUUUAAUGGUGAUGUUUUUUCUACAACAAAGAAAACCCCCUCUUCUUCCUUGCUUACUUGGAAGUUGGAUUGAAGGCUUUGACCCAAAAAGAAUGGAUGACUUUCAGCUGAAGGGCAUAGUAGAAGAGAAGUUUGUGAAGUGGGAAUAUAAUUCAAGUAGUGCAACUGAGAAAAACUCAAUUGCUGAGGAAAACAAAGCUAAGGCAGACCAACCAAAAGAUGAUACCAAGAAGACAGAAACAGACAACCAAAGUAAUGCCAUGAAGGAAAAACAUGGCAAAUCUCCUUUAACAUUGGGAACACCAAAUCAGGUAUCCCUGGGACAAUUAUGGUUAGAGCUGCUAAAAUUUUACACACUGGAUUUUGCUUUGGAAGAAUAUGUCAUAUGUGUACGGAUACAAGAUAUUUUAACAAGAGAAAACAAAAACUGGCCUAAAAGGCGAAUAGCCAUUGAAGAUCCAUUUUCAGUUAAGAGGAAUGUUGCACGGAGCUUAAACAGCCAGCUUGUUUAUGAAUACGUUGUGGAGAGAUUCAGGGCAGCUUAUCGGUAUUUUGCCUGUCCUCAGAGGAAGGGUGGAAAUAAAUCUACAGUGGAUUCCAUGAAAAAAGAGAAGGGAAAAAUAAGCAAUAAGAAACCAGUGAAGUCUGACAAUAUGGCAUCCAGUUGUUGCAUUCUACAUGGAGAAAGCACAGAAAAAAUAAAUGCAGAAAGAGGUCAACCUGAUAAAUAUGAUGAAAUGGAAUGUACAUCACAGAGAUGUAUUACUGAAGAUGACAGUUUGUUGGUAAAUGAGCUAGAUUUGGCUGAACUUGGACAGGAAUCUUCAUCUCUUUCUACCAGUGGAGGCAGUGAAUUAGAGCCAAAAUCAAUUAAGAAACAAGAUGAUUUAGCACCGUCAGAAACCUGUCUAAAAAAGGAACUCAGCCAGUGUAAUUGCAUUGGUUAUAAAUCCCCUGACCCAGAUGAAUCUUCUGGUACAGACUGCCAGUCAAAUAUAGAAACAGAGAGUUCACAUCAGAUUGUGAGCACUGACACAUCUGCUACCUCCUGCAACUGCAAAGCUACAGAAGAUGCUUCUGACUUUAAUGAUGAUGAUAACCACCCCACCCAGGAAUUAUAUUAUGUGUUUGAUAAGUUUAUUUUAACCUCUGGCAAGCCACCAACGAUAGUAUGCAGCAUCUGCAAAAAAGAUGGCCAUUCAAAAAAUGAUUGUCCAGAGGAUUUCAGGAAAAUUGAUCUAAAACCUCUACCACCAAUGACAAAUCGAUUUCGGGAAAUACUUGAUUUAGUAUGUAAAAGAUGUUUUGAUGAGUUAUCACCACCCUUUUCUGAACAACACAACAGGGAGCAAAUUUUAAUUGGCUUGGAAAAGUUUAUUCAAAAAGAAUAUGAUGAAAAGGCCAGAUUGUGCUUAUUUGGCUCUUCUAAGAAUGGAUUUGGAUUUCGUGAUAGUGAUCUGGAUAUUUGUAUGACCCUGGAAGGCCAUGAAAAUGCAGAGAAAUUAAACUGUAAGGAAAUAAUUGAAAAUUUGGCAAAAAUUCUUAAGAGACAUCCAGGUUUAAGAAACAUUUUGCCUAUAACUACUGCCAAAGUGCCUAUAGUAAAAUUUGAACAUAGACGAAGUGGUUUAGAAGGCGAUAUCAGUUUAUAUAAUACAUUGGCUCAACAUAACACAAGAAUGCUAGCUACUUAUGCAGCUAUUGAUCCUAGAGUACAAUACUUGGGAUAUACUAUGAAAGUGUUUGCAAAGCGAUGUGACAUUGGAGAUGCUUCCAGGGGAAGUUUAUCUUCAUAUGCUUAUAUCCUUAUGGUGCUGUACUUUCUGCAGCAGAGAAAACCACCUGUUAUCCCAGUUCUACAAGAGAUCUUUGAUGGAAAACAGAUUCCACAGCGAAUGGUUGAUGGAUGGAAUGCAUUUUUCUUUGAUAAAACAGAAGAGCUGAAAAAGCGUUUACCUUCACUUGGAAAGAAUACAGAAACGUUAGGAGAGCUUUGGUUGGGACUGCUUCGCUUCUAUACUGAAGAGUUUGAUUUCAAGGAAUAUGUAAUUAGCAUUCGGCAGAAAAAGCUGUUGACAACUUUUGAGAAACAGUGGACAUCCAAAUGCAUUGCAAUUGAAGAUCCUUUUGACUUGAAUCAUAACCUUGGUGCUGGAGUUUCUAGGAAAAUGACCAAUUUUAUCAUGAAGGCAUUUAUCAAUGGAAGGAAACUUUUUGGUACCCCCUUUUAUCCACUCAUUGGCAGAGAAGCUGAGUACUUCUUUGAUUCCAGAGUAUUAACAGAUGGAGAACUGGCUCCCAAUGAUCGAUGCUGUCGUGUGUGUGGAAAAAUAGGCCACUACAUGAAAGACUGCCCUAAAAGGAGAAGCAGUUUACUGUUUAGACUAAAGAAGAAAGACAGUGAAGAAGAGAAGGAUGGGAAUGAAGAGGAGAAAGACUCCCGAGACCUUCUUGAUCCCCGAGACCUCCAUGACACUCGAGAGUUUAGAGACCCCAGAGACCUCAGAUGCUUCAUAUGUGGAGAUGCUGGACAUGUACGAAGGGAGUGCCCAGAGGUCAAGCUGGCCCGUCAGAGGAAUAGCAGUGUGGCUGCAGCCCAGUUGGUCCGCAACCUCGUAAAUGCCCAACAAGUGGCUGGUUCAGCCCAGCAACAGGGUGAUCAGUCCGUAAGGACUAGACAGUCCUCAGAAUGUUCUGAUUCACCAUCUUACUCUCCUCAGCCCCAACCAUUUCCACAGAACUCAUCCCAGUCAGCUGCCAUUACCCAGUCUCCAUCCCAGCCAGGAUCCCAACCCAAGCUUGGCCCACCUCAGCAGGGAGCCCAGCCCCCACAUCAGGUCCAGAUGCCUAUGUAUAACUUUCCCCAGUCACCACCAGCUCAGUAUUCUCCCAUGCACAAUAUGGGACUGUUGCCAAUGCACCCUCUCCAGAUCCCUGCCCCGUCCUGGCCUAUUCACGGCCCAGUGAUCCACUCUGCACCAGGCAGUGCCCCCAGCAAUAUUGGCCUGAACGAUCCCAGCAUCAUCUUUGCACAGCCUGCUGCCAGACCUGUGGCGAUCCCUAACUCCUCUCAUGAUGGACACUGGCCUCGUACUGUGGCUCCAAAUUCCCUGGUGAACAAUGGUACAGUGGGAAAUUCGGAGCCAGGCUUUCCAGGACUAAAUCCUCCAAUUCCUUGGGAACAUGCACCACGUCCCCAUUUCCCUCUUGUCCCAGCUUCGUGGCCUUAUGGUUUGCAUCAAAACUUCAUGCAUCAGGGAAAUGCCAGAUUUCAGCCCAACAAACCGUUCUAUACUCAAGCUGGUCUACCGAUGCACAGCAACCAGCCAAUCCUGCUGUCUCAAGGGUAUCCGUACCUCAAUGUCAGUUACAUUCAGCAGAAAAAGUGACAUUUAAUGGAAAGCAAAACAAAUCAGAUAUGCAUUACUUAAAUAGGAGACUCUGGGCUUUUGCCAUAUUUUCCAACUUGGAAGAUGCUUGAAAUCUAUUGCAGGAGGUUGAGGGCUUUCCUGCCAUAUUUACAGCCCUGAAAAGGUCAUUAAGCCAGAAGACAUUUCUUUCCAUCCGGAUCACUUUGGUAAAGAACUAACUUCUAGGACUUCAAUAGAGGUGCUUAUAUUUAAUUCUUAAAGGCAGUCUUAUAUAUAGUUGUAUGAUGAAUAACAUUAGCUCUUAUGGAUGACUUUUAUCAGCUCAAGUAUUACCAGGUGAGGAAUCGUUGAAGAAUGUAAAAUCUCAAAUCUCCCAAAAUGCUUUAACAUUGCUGCAAAAGUCCUUCAGUUCAACAGCAAGCAAAAGAAUGUUAAUCCUGUGACCAGAUCUGGCUUCCCAAGAAACUAGAUCGUAUGAGGCAAUUGGUCUUCAGAAUUCUUGGUAGGUCCAGAGCUGUGGGAAGUCCAAUCACUUCCCCCCACCCCUCUUUUUUUCCACUGUUUCCUUUUUAAAGGAAAAAAGUUAAGUACUAGUAGAAUGAACUCUUCUAGCAAAGAUCUCAACACCUUCUUGAUUAUCAAUGCCCACGGACACUUUGCAGUUCUUAUUUUGCUUCUAAGUCCUCAAACCCUUAGCUUCUUUGAUAUACUGUCUCCUAAUUCUUCUACCUUUCUGAAAGUUCAUUUCCAUUUUCAGGUGGUUGACUGCAUUGCUUUCUCUCACCAGUGUUGAGUGUUGCCUACGCUUCUGUUGUUGGCUUUUCUUACAUAAACAUACACUUCCUGGGCAGCCCCCAUUUAAUUCUACAUCUUCCACAAUUACCUAAAUGUUGUCAAUUCAGGGUUAGAUCACUAUGCUCAACUCCAAUUCCUACUUCUAACAACCUGGGCUUUAUCUAGAUAUACCGUAGCAGUCUCUAUACUUUAAGUAAAAUUGAAUGCAUCAUUUUUACUACCAAAAGAACUUUCACCACCUGCCCCCUCUAAAGCUUGGCCUCUUCCUGCUGUACUUUCUAACUUUGUGAAUAAAUGGCACUAUUUGCCAGCAAAUGAAGUCAAAACCGUGAAUGGUAUUAGAUACUUAACUCUCCUUUUCAAUCUUAUAGGCCCACUGCUACCGACUAAACUUAGAAAAUAAUGACAGUCUUUUCAAGGUAAAGGCUGAGCACCAUAACCUAGAAUUCAAGGCUUAUGGGGAAGAAAAAACAUUAUAUAAGAAUGUUGUGUAAAAGGUGUUAAGUUCCAUUGUUGAACUGUUCAAUGCAACUGGAUUAAAUGAUCCAGAAGAAGUCUUAACAUUUGAAUACAUUCUGUUCUUACAAAGCUGCUGCUAACUCAUCAGUUUUCAUGUUUAUUACAUAGUGCUGAUGAAAAAAAGUCUGGGAGAGAAUAGGUUUUACUGACUUGACUUUUGAGUGUAACAGCAGCAGCACAAAUCUCAGGAUUCUCAGAACAGUUCUAAUCACGGAGCAAACCAAAACUAAACUACAGAAAUACGGAAAGUGGAUGUGUAAAAUUUAAUAAUAAAAGGGUCACCAUGCAGCCACAUCCUCUCCUUGUCAUUCAUCCUCUCCACCCCUCAAAUCCCUUACAAAGUUGAGUACAGUCAAGGUUGGUUGUACAGAGGGGUCGAAAGCAGCCCUUGGGAAGUGCUAUCCCUCAAAUGUGGAUUAUGAUUCAAAGAGCGAUACAAAACUCAGCACCUCUUUCAUUUAAAAAAAAAAAAAGUGGAGAAAC
Molecule: RNA transcript, 7108 nt
Organism: Felis catus (domestic cat)
Lineage: Eukaryota; Metazoa; Chordata; Mammalia; Carnivora; Felidae
Gene: TUT4
Gene name: terminal uridylyl transferase 4
Exons: 33
Source: RefSeq, a predicted model, not a curated record